GACGAACGCUGGCGGCGUGCUUAACACAUGCAAGUCGAACGGAAAGGCCCUGCUUUUGUGGGGUGCUCGAGUGGCGAACGGGUGAGUAACACGUGAGUAACCUGCCCUUGACUUUGGGAUAACUUAAGGAAACUGGGGCUCAUACCGGAUAGGAGCUCCUGCUGCAUGGUGGGGGGUGGAAAGUUUCGGCGGUUGGGGAUGGACUCGCGGCUUAUCAGCUUGUUGGUGGGGUAGUGGCUUACCAAGGCUUUGAGGGGUAGCCUGCAUGGUGAGGUGACCCGCUACCCUGGUGCUGAUAUACGGCCCAGACUCCGAGUGGGGGCAGCAGUGUGUAAUACUGCACAAUGGUCUGAAGCCUGAUGCAGCAACGCCGCGUGCGGGAAGACAGUAGACGGGUGGGAAACUGUGUGUGACUGUGACCACGCGUUAGUGACAGGAAUGGGCAAAAAAUCACCGGCUCACUACGUG
Molecule: ribosomal RNA, 468 nt
Filed under: uncultured bacterium
Lineage: Bacteria
Description: partial 16S ribosomal RNA
Rfam family: Bacterial small subunit ribosomal RNA
Source: RNAcentral